GCCCGCCUUGCCCUCCUCUCCGCCCACCGGGCAGCGGCGUCUCCGCCGCUCGCCGCCCUCCCCUAUUCCACCUCCUCCUCCUCCCCCGCCCCCUACUUCCGCCCGCCUCCCCCAACCGCCGUCCCCGGCAUGCCGAAGGCGGUAGAGUACGUGAUCUCGAAGGUCGAUGACCUCAUGAACUGGGCCCGCCGAGGAUCUCUCUGGCCCAUGACCUUCGGGCUCGCCUGCUGUGCUGUGGAGAUGAUGCAUACUGGUGCUGCGCGGUACGAUCUGGAUCGGUUUGGGGUUAUCUUUCGCCCGAGCCCUCGGCAGUCCGAUUGCAUGAUCGUCGCCGGGACGCUGACGAACAAGAUGGCUCCCGCUCUUCGCAAGGUGUAUGACCAGAUGCCCGAGCCACGCUGGGUGAUAUCCAUGGGCAGCUGUGCUAAUGGUGGUGGGUACUAUCAUUACUCAUACUCGGUCGUUCGUGGCUGUGACCGGAUUGUUCCUGUUGAUAUCUACGUUCCUGGAUGCCCUCCGACUGCUGAGGCUUUGCUCUAUGGCAUUCUCCAGCUCCAGAAGAAGAUCAAUAGGAGGAAGGACUUCCUCCUCUGGUGGACCAAGUGAAGCCGUUUAAUCUACUCUGGUCGACCCAGCUGAUUGUUUCAUGGCUUCUGUGCCGCUGUUUGUUGGAAUAAAAAGACAUGUAUGUUCUCAACUAUGCUGUGCUUGAAGCUCUUAUAGCGUUCUACUUACCGUUUCUGAGUUUGUGGAGUACUUGU
Molecule: unclassified non-coding RNA, 761 nt
Filed under: Hevea brasiliensis (rubber tree)
Lineage: Eukaryota; Viridiplantae; Streptophyta; Magnoliopsida; Malpighiales; Euphorbiaceae
Source: RNAcentral